This 331-nucleotide ribosomal RNA is filed under the name Corbicula fluminea. RNAcentral describes it as "eukaryotic LSU rRNA". Lineage: Eukaryota; Metazoa; Mollusca; Bivalvia; Venerida; Cyrenidae. The record is from RNAcentral.
CUCCGCGGUCGAGUGCUACGACCGGUUUCGAGGCGGUCAGAAGCCCGGCGGAAAGGUAGCGCCGCCCUUCGGGGUGUCGUGUUAUAGGCCGCCGCGGUGGACUCGCCGCGAGACCGAGGACGCUUGCCGCGCCGAGCGGUCCCGGGCCGUCUUGGGWGGUUCGACCUCGGCUGCACUGCUCCGCAGAGCACCGUAACCGCCGCCCUAGCACGGGUCCGGAGACUGCCGGCGCCUCGGGUCAGUAGCGAAUCGGUCGGUCCUCCACCCGACCCGUCUUGAAACACGGACCAAGGAGUCUAACAUGUGCGCGAGUCAUGGGGUCCGUACGAAA